This 390-nucleotide ribosomal RNA is filed under the name uncultured bacterium. RNAcentral's name for it is "partial 16S ribosomal RNA". It matches the Rfam family "Bacterial small subunit ribosomal RNA", at positions 355 to 735 of the family's 1533-position model. The record is from RNAcentral.
UGGGGAAUUUUGGACAAUGGGCGAAAGCCUGAUCCAAGCAAUGCCGCGUGUGUGAAGAAGGCCUUCGGGUUGUAAAGCACUUUUUGUCCGGAAAGAAAUCCUUGGCUCUAAUACAGUCGGGGGAUGACGGUACCGGAAGAAUAAGCACCGGCUAACUACGUGCCAGCAGCCGCGGUAAUACGUAGGGUGCAAGCGUUAAUCGGAAUUACUGGGCGUAAAGCGUGCGCAGGCGGUUUGCUAAGACCGAUGUGAAAUCCCCGGGCUCAACCUGGGAACUGCAUUGGUGACUGGCAGGCUAGAGUAUGGCAGAGGGGGGUAGAAUUCCACGUGUAGCAGUGAAAUGCGUAGAGAUGUGGAGGAAUACCGAUGGCGAAGGCAGCCCCCUGGGCC